CUGGCUCAGGAUGAACGCUAGCGGCAGGCUUAACACAUGCAAGUCGAGGGGCAUCGGGAGUAGCAAUACUGCCGGCGACCGGCGCAAGGGUGCGUAACGCGUGAGCAACAUGCCCGUAUCAGGGGGAUAAUCCAUGGAAACGUGGUCUAAUACCCCAUAGUAAUUAUGUAAGGCAUCUUAUAUAAUUUAAAGCUUUGGUGGAUACGGAUUGGCUCGCGUGACAUUAGCUGGAUGGUAAGGUAACGGCUUACCAUGGCUACGAUGUCUAGGGGUUCUGAGAGGAAGGUCCCCCACACUGGAACUGAGACACGGUCCAGACUCCUACGGGAGGCAGCAGUGAGGAAUAUUGGACAAUGGAUGGAAAUCUGAUCCAGCCAUGCCGCGUGCAGGAAGACGGCCCUAUGGGUUGUAAACUGCUUUUGUAUGGGAGCAAUAAGGGCUACGUGUAGUCCGAUGAGAGUACCAUACGAAUAAGCACCGGCUAACUCCGUGCCAGCCGCCGC
RNAcentral lists this ribosomal RNA (503 nucleotides) under uncultured bacterium. Its description in RNAcentral is "bacterial SSU rRNA". It matches the Rfam family "Bacterial small subunit ribosomal RNA", at positions 19 to 518 of the family's 1533-position model. The record is from RNAcentral.